RNAcentral lists this unclassified non-coding RNA (1572 nucleotides) under Hevea brasiliensis (rubber tree). Lineage: Eukaryota; Viridiplantae; Streptophyta; Magnoliopsida; Malpighiales; Euphorbiaceae. The record is from RNAcentral.
CAAAAAGCUAUUUCCCGGCUGAAAUCAUCAAUUUUUAGAAAUUUAGUUAUCUACAACAUCUUUCAGAAUAUUUCAAUAUAAUGGUAAAAAUAAAUUCGUUCUCAUUCAUCUCAGGUACCUACCAAAAUAAAUAUAAAAUUAUUGGCUCAUAUUGAAUCUUUAAUUACAAAUACAAUAGAAGAUCACUAAUUAGCCAAGCAGAUGCAUGCACAGAACCUCAAAGCUCUGGUCAGUGCCUCAAAAAUUGUACAGCUUCAAGUGAAUCUAAAUCAGUGACAACAACCAAUAAGGCAACAACUCACAACCAACAGCCAUUUCUAAGAAACAAUUGCUGACAUGACUCCUCAAACUACCAAUUCUUGUUCUUCUGAUGCAUGAUCUUGAAGAGUUGUAUUAAACUUCAAGCUUCUUGCAACAUCAAAGAAAUGGGCAACAGCUUCUUCAGGAGUCCCAACAAGAACACCAUGUCCAAGAUUAAGAAUAUGUCCCCUUGGCCCAGCACAUCUCACAACUCGUUGAAUUUCAUCUGUCAAUGCAGGAAGAGGAGAAAAUAAGUAAGCAGGGUCCACAUUUCCUUGUACACUAAUCCCACUACCCAAACGAUUCCUUCCGUCUGCCAUAUCCACUGUCCAGUCUAGCCCAAUCACAUCAACUCCAGUUCCUUUCAUACGCUCAAGAAGUCCACCAUUUCCAUUAAUGUAGAGAACAAGUGGCGUUUCAGGGCACUUAUUCCUUACCAUGCAGACUAUUUCUUCAAUAUAAGGCUUUGACCAACAGUCCCACAUGCUAGGUGGUAGCUGUCCACCCCAGGAAUCAAAUAUUUGUACGCAAUGAGCCCCAGACUCCACUUGAAAAACAAUGUAGUCAGCUAUUGUCUGUGUCAAAUGAGAGAGAAGAGCCCUCAGUACAUGUGGUGCUGUAUGGCACAUACUCUUUAUGUUAGUGUAUGUGCGAGUCGUACCCCCUUCCACUAUAUAUGUAGCAAUUGUCCAAGGAGCUCCAACAAAACCCAAAACUGCAGCAUGUCCAUUAACCUACAUAAAACAUAAAAAGAGUAAUGUAGAGGCAUGGUGUACAUUUCACAUAACAAAAAAUAACACAGAGCAAUUAUACUUAGCCUACUGCCUAUUUGAAAGGUAAGAAUAACCUCAUGUCGCAAUAUUCUAAGUGAUUCCCCCACAAAAUGGAGUUUCUCUAAUUCAAUGGAAUGUAGAGCCUUUAAUCCUUCUUCAGAACGAAUUGGAGUCUGAAUAACAGGCCCCCUUACUUCUUCUAUGUCAAAUGGAACACCAAAAGCUGGUAAAGGUGUAAGUAUGUCAGAGAAAAUAAUAACACCAUCUGGAUGAAAAGCUUCCCAGGGCUGCAAAGAAAUUUCCACAAUGAGAUCAGUUGUCUCUGACCUCUCUCUGAAGGAUGGAUAUUUCUCUGCAAGCUUUCUGUAAACAGCCAUAUACCUUCCUGCCUGACGCAUCAUCCAUGCUGGAGGCCUAUUUACAGGUUCUCCUCUUGCAGCCUUAACCAAAAGUGGAUCAGAAGAAGAACAAGAGACUUUGAAUCUUGGUGUUCUAGAGA